Long non-coding RNA from Clupea harengus (Atlantic herring), 2049 nucleotides. The record is from Ensembl. Lineage: Eukaryota; Metazoa; Chordata; Actinopteri; Clupeiformes; Clupeidae.
UCCCCACCCACUUUGUUUCAAAAGUGGUUUAUCUGAAAAUCAGAAAAAUCAGAAAGCCAAAACUAAGGUCUCUCUCUAUAUGUUUGUCUACGGGUAUGUCAACUGCGUCUUUUUGUUUCUGUGACCAUAACUAAUUAUUACUAUAUGGACGGUUUAAAUGAGACAAGGAUAUUAUGUUUUCGUUGCAGUUUGUUUGUCUGUCUGUUUGCAGGAUUAUAUGCAAAAACUACUGGCCCGAUUUUCAUGAAACUUCGUGGAAAGGUGUCAAUAGGCUAGGCCUACUUGUAACAGACUGAGAGAUGAAAAAAUAUACUUACCAAGGACAAAAGGCAGAUUUACCAAGUCUCAAAAGACGAAAAGUAGACUGCCUUCCUGUAGCUACUUAAAAAAAAAGUAGCUCACUAACGGAAUAGGGUCUACCCAUCCAACAAGAAGACUAGAGCCGAGUACGGAAUCUGUGCUGGGAAUUCGGUUUCGGUUUUGCUUUUUUCGCUUUUGGCACGUAGCGUUGGAAGCUUCAACGGAGACUCUCCCUAUUUACUUUACUUUGCCGAACUGAAUUGUAGAGUCGGCAACGGCAGACAUCCCAAGUCUCCCGGAAGUCUCCCGCAUAUUGAUAGCAACUCCCUGAUGCCCGCAAAUUACUUAAAAUCUCCCGGAAUCUAUAGCGAGCGAGCAAGACCGCGCACUUGAGACAGACGUGCUACAAACCGCGUAAGCAUCUGUGUAGCGCGCGCACGACAGAGAGGGAGAGGGACCUAGAGACUGUGCGUGUGUGUGGCAGUGUGAGUGUGUGCCUCAUGAAGCAUCCUGAUUGGCCUGUUUCGCAGCUGAUUAUGGCAGCUUUCACCAGCUUGGGUCAGACAGUCGCUCCCAGUCUGUUUACUAGAUGUUAUCACCAUCUGUCUGCACGCUCACUCACGACCAAACAGAGCCGUGCGCUUGACACCACAGUCUCAAACAGGCGGGAUUCCUGUGCUACAAUAUUGAUGAUAAAAUGUGUGUUUCUCUCGGAAACAUUUGAAUCUUUAAAGUGAGGAUUGAGUUUAAAAAAAAAGUGAGAAUGAGAGUUCAAUGUAUUCCAUCACAUUGUAAUUUAUUAAUGGGUACAUUUGGGUUUUACAGAUAUUACUUAUGUUUUUAGUCUUUUUCAUGUUUGGCCUAUAUUUGCCAUCCUAGGGUACAAAAGGGCAAUACCCUUAAACAGAACAUAUUUGUUCCAUUUCCAAGGCUAUGUUUAAAUUCCAAUGCAUUUAUGUCCAAAUGUGUCCCUUAGGGUACAAUGCAGUAUCCUUGAAGGUAACACCCCAGUGACAAGACAGUGUAGCCCUAAAGGACCUGUUGUUGGGGAUGCGGAAAUUCGCAGAGAUGGCCUUCAGGCAUUCAUUACUGGAGUCGUUGCUCUCCAAAAAGACGGUGACGUAAAGUGGCCCUUCUUCUAGAAUUUUGCCGUACUCGUCUGCAGGAAUGAGUAUGAAGCGGACACGGGAGUCGGCUUUGAAAAACAUCUUCAUUGAUUGGCUCGCUCUUGUAGUCACAGAGCUAUCCCCACUGACUUUAACUUCCAUCACCAGCUCCUCCAGCCGCAUUUGAUCCGUGUUGUAGUAAACCCGGAUGGGCAUCCCCGAGGCGUUGGCCACAUGGGUGAUUGUGCUCCCCAUUAUUGAUUUCGGAGACAAUGAUCUGUGGAGUAAGUGUGAAAGAGGCAGUGAUGCCUAAUGAAUUGCAAUUAUCAAGCACCUUUUGAGGAUCUAUGGCACUUUACAGCGAGGUGGGUGGUGAUGCAGGUUUAUCUUGACCACAUGACGCAUCUAUUAAUGUUGCUCAAUGUAAUAUAAGACCUUGUAGGCAUGUGGGCAGGUAUUUGGACUUUGGACAAAACUGCUCUGGUUAUUUUUCUCUUUCCAUGGGAUUGUGAACAACAGCAGUUUGUUUCUGCGGCAAUAACUAACCUAAGGAAGGUUAGAUGAGCCGAGUUAUCAGAUUCAUGUUAAGAAAAACAGGCAUAUUGACAAUCCAACUUAAAAGUUUGUGGAAUUAGUUCACUGA